RNAcentral lists this ribosomal RNA (535 nucleotides) under uncultured Verrucomicrobiota bacterium. RNAcentral's name for it is "bacterial SSU rRNA". It matches the Rfam family "Bacterial small subunit ribosomal RNA", at positions 8 to 522 of the family's 1533-position model. Lineage: Bacteria; Pseudomonadati; Verrucomicrobiota. The record is from RNAcentral.
AGAGUUUGAUCAUGGCUCAGAACGAACGCUGGCGGCGUGGAUAAGACAUGCAAGUCGAACGAGAUUUUCUUUGGUAGCAAUACCGAAGAAAGUCUAGUGGCGAACGGGUGCGUAACACGUGGGCAAUCUGCCUUAAAGUGGGGGAUAGCUCGGCGAAAGCCGAAUUAAUACCGCAUGUGAUCAGGGGAGACAUCUUUCCGAAAUCAAAAGUGGCGCAAGCUACUGCUUUUUGAGGAGCCCGCGGCCUAUCAGCUAGUUGGUGAGGUAAUGGCUCACCAAGGCUCUGACGGGUAGCUGGUCUGAGAGGACGACCAGUCACACUGGAACUGAGACACGGUCCAGACACCUACGGGUGGCAGCAGUCGAGAAUUUUUCUCAAUGGGGGAAACCCUGAAGGAGCGACGCCGCGUGGAGGAUGAAGGUCUUCGGGUUGUAAACUCCUGUCAUUUGGGAACAAGUGCCGGUACCUAACUGCUACCGGCUUGAUAGUACCAGAAGAGGAAGGACGGCUAACUCUGUGCCAGCAGCCGCGGUA